UACGUGUGUCUGUGGAAAUUAUCCGAUUGUUUGAAAUAAUAAUUGCAUGUCUUUCAAGUAAUAUUUUAAGUACUAAUCCAGUAGGAAGUAAAAAUCCAUUUGUAAUUGUAGGAAGUAAUAAAUUCAUUUAUUGGAACCAAUGUGCCCAUUUCUAGGAAGUAAUAAAUCCAUUUCUUGGAAGUAUAAUUUAUUUCGAGAAAGUAAUCAAUGCAUUUUUUUGAAGUAAUGAGUCCAUUUCUUGGAAGUAAUAAUUCCAUGUCUUUCAAGAAACCUUCCAUUUCUUGUAAGUACUAACCAUUUCUAGGAAGUAAUCAAA
This is a non-coding RNA of Paramuricea clavata, 316 nucleotides long. NCBI's taxonomy places the organism in Eukaryota, Metazoa, Cnidaria, Anthozoa, Malacalcyonacea, Plexauridae. The record is from the annotation of a GenBank genome assembly.